RNAcentral lists this transfer RNA (72 nucleotides) under Marmota monax (woodchuck). RNAcentral describes it as "tRNA.Ala". It matches the Rfam family "tRNA". From Rfam's summary of the family: Transfer RNA (tRNA) molecules are approximately 80 nucleotides in length. Their secondary structure includes four short double-helical elements and three loops (D, anti-codon, and T loops). Further hydrogen bonds mediate the characteristic L-shaped molecular structure. tRNAs have two regions of fundamental functional importance: the anti-codon, which is responsible for specific mRNA codon recognition, and the 3' end, to which the tRNAs corresponding amino acid is attached (by aminoacyl-tRNA synthetases). tRNAs cope with the degeneracy of the genetic code in two manners: having more than one tRNA (with a specific anti-codon) for a particular amino acid; and 'wobble' base-pairing, i.e. permitting non-standard base-pairing at the 3rd anti-codon position. The record is from RNAcentral. Lineage: Eukaryota; Metazoa; Chordata; Mammalia; Rodentia; Sciuridae.
GCGUGGUAGCUCAGUGGUAGAGCACUCGCCUGGCACACGUGAGGCCCUGGGUUUGAUCCUCGGCACCACACA